UUAAAAUUACAAUAAGUCAAAGAUAACAUAAUUUUUCAAUUCCUUUGCCGGUGAACCACUUCAUCGGUACCCCCUCCAAUCCAUUUUUUUCGUCGAAACAAGGUUGUGGUGGUGGGGGUUCUUUGAUGUUAUCCAUUUUUAAAGGAUCAACAUGACCUCGGCGAACCAUAGUGCUGGUGGUGGGGAUUCUUCGAUGUUCUUAAAAAAAGAAUAUUGUUGUACAUAGCUAUGGUAUGUAUUGGGGUAAAGUCGUAAAAUCUUCAACUAAGAAAAAAUUGAAGGAUUAGCAUAACCUCAGCUUUCAAAGAUUUUGUGAUUUUCUUUGAAAUUUGUGUUUUUUUCUCUUAUUUAUUGUUAUCGUAUACAUUGUUAUACAUAGCUAUGCUAUGUAUAGUGCUAAAGUUUUUUUUUACUAGAUCUGCACAUAUUUCUAUUCCCUACACAUUAAUAUACAAUGUAUAUGACUGACCUAUUUUGUUAUUAUACAUGGAAGAGUUAUAUAUAAGGUUUGUCAGUGGCAUGUAAUGUAUGUGGCUUGAAGUAGUCUGAUCUUAUACAUGUAUAAGAGAUUGCCUGUGUUAUGUAAUUUAUAUGUUUUACCCCAAUGUUAUAUCUUUUAUGUAUAAAACUA
RNAcentral lists this long non-coding RNA (631 nucleotides) under Capsicum annuum. RNAcentral's name for it is "long non-coding RNA (CANN_LNC014102)". Lineage: Eukaryota; Viridiplantae; Streptophyta; Magnoliopsida; Solanales; Solanaceae. The record is from RNAcentral.